Molecule: long non-coding RNA, 1213 nt
Filed under: Panax ginseng (ginseng)
Lineage: Eukaryota; Viridiplantae; Streptophyta; Magnoliopsida; Apiales; Araliaceae
Description: long non-coding RNA (PGIN_LNC010842)
Source: RNAcentral
UGCUGGAACAUGUUUGUUUCACGGUGCAGAGAGGUGAAACUGGGUGCUUGGCCCUCUUGUAUAGUGAGUAUGAAAUAAGAGGUGGAAUUGGGUGCUUUGUCCCUCUUGCAUAGUGAGUGUGAAAUAAGCAGGGAGGGAGGACAGGACAGGGGAGUUCAAUGUGAAUGCCAAAUGUAUAUUAAUAAUUUAAAAAUUAAAACACAAUAUUGUUAAGAUAGAAUCUCUUUUGGCUGAGUUUUCAGGGAAUGAAGAAUGGUCGUAACUAAGGAGGUCCAGAGGAAGAGAGCCGUGGGGCUAUCCUAGGCUCCAUGGGUGAGCCUUGGAGCUAGUGUGGGUUAAGGAGCGUCACUUGUGCUACAAGAGAAGGGGAGGCUACCAAGACUCCCAUGGGAUGUCCUAGGAAACUUGUUGGAGAUAAAAUAUUUUCUUUUUAAGUUUGGUUUGAAUCUUUUUAGUUUUGGAAUUAUGUUUUGUAACAGGUUGUGAGUCAUAAUAUUAGACUUUCAACUUGAAUGAGUGUUAGUAGAUAUUUUAGAGUAUUCUAGGAUAUUAUUCUAAUAGCAUGAUUUGGGGGAUUGUAUGAUUAGGGGAUUGCAUGAUUAAAGGGAGAUUACAUGAUUAAGGGAUGAUUGAUUUACUUUUCAAAUGUAUUGCAGUUCUAAUCCUAUAUAAAACUCUCUAUUUUACAUUGUAAGAUAUAUAAUAGAAAACAUCUUCCCUUUUCUAUUUUUCCAUAUGGUAUUUGAGCUAGGUUGAUUUUGACAAUUAAAUCAAAAUGUCUUGUUUCCACCGGAGGCAGCACAUAACUUUUGCGGGUAUCCAUUUUUUUAAUUGUUUUAACUUCAUCUUAAAAAAAAUAGGUAGUUAGCAAUAAGUUCUGGUUUUUUUGUUGGACUUAUUUUUCCUCCUCAUUUUCAAAAAAGUGACAUGUCCAGAGUAGUUAAUUUCUUAGGUUGAAAUAUGACAUCAUUUUUUCUUUUUCUUUCUAUUUAUUUUAUUCGUGCAAAUUGAAGAGGGCCUCAAUUUGAGGGGGAGUGUUGGAGAUAAAAUAUUUUUCUUUUUAAGUUUGGUUUGAAUCUUUUUAGUUUUGGGAUUAUGUUUUGUAACAAGCUGUAACUCAUAACAUAAGACUUUCAACUUGAGGGAUAUUAUUUUAAUAGCAUGAAUGAUUUGGGAGAUUGUAUGAUUAGAGGGGAUUGCAUGAUGAAAGGGA